This 226-nucleotide long non-coding RNA is filed under the name Homo sapiens (human). Its description in RNAcentral is "HSALNT0052911". The record is from RNAcentral. Lineage: Eukaryota; Metazoa; Chordata; Mammalia; Primates; Hominidae.
UGAUUCAGACAAGUAGCAGCAGCUCCAGGGCUUCAGAUAAUUUCUGUGUUUCAGUUCUUUUCAUUCCAUCCCUCUCAAGUAGUGCUUUGUCUCAGGGGUUGUUGUUUAAAUUCAAGCUCCAUCAUUGUGACUGCUGUACUAGGAGAAAAGUCAGAAGAGUGGAAAAUUUUGAAGAAGUAUCUCUGGCAAGAAUCUAGAAAGUUUUCUUCUAGGACUAUCAAGGACU